CUCCUCUGCGCAUCAUUGGCGUUCGUCGCGGCCACCGAGGAGAAGUACCCGGCCACGUUCGACAGCCUGGACCUGAAGGAGCUGCUGUCGGAUGAAACUCGAGUCCAGGAUGCGAUGCGCUGCCUGCUGGAAGAAGGAGAUGCAGCGUGCAGACCCGCCGCGAAGGCGCUCAAGAAGGUGCUGCCCGAAAUAGUGCGUACAGACUGCGCCAAGUGCACUGAGACACAGCUCAAGAAGAUCGGAGGUUUCUUCGGAGAGAUUUCGCACCGCCACCCAGACCUCAUG
Schistocerca americana (American grasshopper) is the source of this 285-nucleotide long non-coding RNA. RefSeq lists it as uncharacterized. The record is from RefSeq and is a predicted model, not a curated record. The transcript is spliced from 3 exons. NCBI's taxonomy places the organism in Eukaryota, Metazoa, Arthropoda, Insecta, Orthoptera, Acrididae.